AGUGAACGCUGGCGGUAGGCCUAACACAUGCAAGUCGAACGGCAGCACAGUAAGAGCUUGCUCUUACGGGUGGCGAGUGGCGGACGGGUGAGGAAUACAUCGUAAUCUACUUUUUCGUGGGGGAUAACGGAGGGAAACUUACGCUAAUACCGCAUACGACCUACGGGUGAAAGCAGGGGAUCGUCGGACCUUGCGCGACUGAAUGAGCCGAUGUCGGAUUAGCUAGUUGGCGGGGUAAAGGCCCACCAAGGCGACGAUCCGUAGCUGGUCUGAGAGGAUGAUCAGCCACCCUGGAAGUGAGACACGGUCCAGACUCCUACGGGAGGCAGCAGUGGGGAAUAUUGGACAACGGGCGGAAGACUGAUCCAGCCAUACCGCGUGGGUGAAGAAGGCCUUCGGGUUGUAAAGCCCUUUUGUUGGGAAAGAAAAGCAGCAGGUUAAUACCCCGCUGUUCUGACGGUACCCAAAGAAUAAGCACCGGCUAACUUCGUG
Molecule: ribosomal RNA, 492 nt
Filed under: uncultured bacterium
Lineage: Bacteria
Description: partial 16S ribosomal RNA
Rfam family: Bacterial small subunit ribosomal RNA
Source: RNAcentral